This 779-nucleotide long non-coding RNA is filed under the name Pan troglodytes (chimpanzee). RNAcentral describes it as "lincRNA". The record is from RNAcentral. Lineage: Eukaryota; Metazoa; Chordata; Mammalia; Primates; Hominidae.
GCACGACUUGUUCUUGCCUUCUAAAGCAGAGAGGAGCUUUUGUGGGUAGUUCCUACAGGGAUACAUGGUAGAAAAUUCACCAAACCCAGUGCUGGAGUGUUUCUCUUCCUCAGAAGAAAUCAGAUGCUGUUCAGAGCACCAAGGCUAGAAUUUUACCCUGGUUCUCAUGCUACCUUGCACCCAGGUUGGAUCCUGAGUACAGUUUUUGGCAGGAAGCCCCAGAGAGAUUGGUGAGGGUGAUUUCCCAGGAAGACGCAGUGUGCUCUGACUUCUGUGACAGUGAGCAACGGGACCAGUGGAUGUCCAGAUGCUGGCAAUGAGACAUACUCUGGAGUCAGAAGACAGCGAAAAGAGAAGCAGAAGCCCCGGUGGCAAGAGUCUGAAGGAAGGAUGACUGUAGCCUGUGGAUUGUACUGCAGUAGGAAACUGUCCUAGCAAGGCUCCACCUUGCCCCAGCUUCAAGGUAUAUCGUCUCAAAAUGCAGGGGACUUCAGAUGAGUUUUGAGCACCCUUUCUUUUAUUAUAAAAAAAAUUCCAGACAGUUCAGCCAAUACUGACUAAGGGCUGAGACCAGUUCCAUGCUUUUCUGUCUCCAGAGGAAUUUGCUUCCAUCUGGAUGCCUGAAACGCUGGAAAGGAGGAGAACAUGAAACAUUGCUUGAAGACAAUGGCCGAGACAGCAGGUCCCACCCUGCACAGCCAACAGCAUCUCUCCCCUCAGCCCUGUCUCCUCUUCUGCAGUUGGGAUCUGCACAUUUAAGCCUGAAAUUGUCCUGUGAA